GUUCGUUCAGGGCUAAAGGGCUGCUGCCACCCAGGCACGUUUCUCUGUCCCGCCGAGCCUCCACACUCUCAGCACCGCCAGCAGUUAAGAAUUUUUUGCAACGACACCUGAUCCAGCUGGAGAUUCCUAGGACUCGACCGUCUCGUGGCCCCCAGCUCGCUCCACUCACGCCAGUGGACCGGCCAGGAUCCAUUUCCGGGUGACCUCACCACUACGUCGCCGCCGCCACGGUCUCUCGGGAAAUGUAGUCUCCCUAGCCACUCCUCAACCCCCUCCGGAGGAAGCUGCUUUUCCCGCGUGUAGCGCUUUGAGCGCGAGUGGAAGAAACGGAAGUGAUGUCCCGCGGACAAGCGAUGGUGGUGUAUGCCUUUAAUGCCAGCACUCUGGAGGCAGAGGCAGGAGAGUGAGUUCAAGGCCAGCCUGGUCUACAGAGUGAGUUCCAGGACAGCGAAGGCUACACAGAGAAACCCUGUCUCGAAAAGGCAGAAAUGGUUAUGAUGAUGCUAUCAGAAAUUAUGCUGCUUGUGAAGAGAGAAAUUAAGCUCUUUUGGUCCAGUGAGGUUAUUAAAGAAUGUAAUUUUCAAAUCCCAGUAAAACUUUGACACACCAGGACACCAGGAUGAAUCACUGUUGGCUUGGAUGCCUUUGGGAGGCAGAACCUCCUGAGUGCUGAGAUUACAGGUGUCAGCAUGUCCAUCUCUGCCACCAUCAACACCCGCCAUUGCCUCUUCAUGAAAUGAUGUCUGACCCAGGAUGGUUUUCCUUGCCGCAGGCUGAAAGGAACAGGGCCAGAUUGGCCGUGGAUUGAAACUUGGAACUCACUUUCAAAGCAGAGGCAGGUGGAUCUUUAUGAAUUGGAGGACAGCCUGGUCUACAGAGUGAGUCCAGGACAACCAAGACUGGCUGCAGAGAGAAUCCCUGUCUCGAAAAACAAGGAACCCCUCCAGCUUCUCGCUUAUCUCAGCUUCCUGCCUGCUAUGCAGAAAAUCCUCCCCUCCAGGUUUUUCAUGAAGAUAUUCAUCAAGAAUAGUACGGGCGUUCUCGCUUUCUCAAAUUACAGCAUUAAUUGCUAGUUAUUGGGAUAGUCAACUCAUAAGAGGAAGAAACAACAGCAGGCCUUGGUGAGCAGGAGGACUUCAUGUAUCCAGCAGCAACAUAGAGUGGUGUUCCUUUGAAGAAAUCCUACUCGGAUGGAUGAUAAUACAACACUUAGCAGCUGUGAGGAGGUCCAGUCGACAUCGGUUUUGAAGUACUACAGCUACCAACUAGUCAACCCGUUCUCGGAGUGUUAGUAUUGUCUGAGCCACUUGCUGGAGGUCCUGGAUGAACUGGGAAGAAAGUUAGUGAAGUGGCUAGUCCUGUUGUCCAGGUCCUGACAACUGCCGUGAUUCCUGCAACAGCCAAGAGAGGCAAGAUUUGAAUUACUCUCUUAUCCUGCUGGGCACCUCUUGAGUCCACAACUGGGAUUGAUUGAGGCUCCUUUACAUUUAUCACUCCCAGCUCGUGGAAGAGGAGUACCAGCAUGCAAACUCCUGACCAAACAGCAAGCAGACAAUGGUAGACCUGAGUUCGAGAAAGAAUUGAGGUAUUAUUAGCACUAGGGCAUUAGGGUUGAGAUGAGGUUUCAAGGAUUAUAGUUUUAUUACAAUCUAAGGAACUUAGCAUUUCUACAGAGUGUGUCUCAGAUGCCUGGAAACAUCUUGCCAUGCCAAAGAGAGUGAUAUGAAAAAGGCAAGGGGCUGUGGCAACAUCAGAGUCAGGGCAGUUAGUGAAUGGUGAAGUAAGGUUACUGGACAGAGUCACUGUAGAAGCUGAAUUGGUCCUAUGUGGUACACACCACCAGCAAUCUUUAAAAUGUCCCGGUUGGGGCCCAUUAAACUGCUUGUAGGCCGAGGUCAGGUUCUGAAGUAGGAGAUGAAAUGACAGGAUUGUACUAUGUAGGAGGGGAUAUUAGAGAGGUAAUGACCUUAGAGGAGUGUUUAAUUGUCUUCUCAUCCCCAUCCCCAUCCCCAGUGAUUGGGUAAUUAGGACAUAUUUUCUUUGGAUAUUGGUAGUACUUAUUGGUAAAUCAGGUUUGUAGUGGCGGUAGAGUUUUCCAACAACACCUGCUUCCCAUCUGGGAUCCCACGGGUCUUGGAUGUAUAAGUAGAGAGUCGUUUUGUGCAGGGGAUGGAGCUUCCUCUGUGCUGGUGCGUGGAUAUGGUAAGACAAGUGUGGGCAGCCUCCAUACCUGUCUGGCCAUUUUUUGCAAUGAUCCUUUGUUUGAUCAAAGAGGAAGCAAACAAAAAUUCUAUCCAUUAAGAGAGGAGCGAUAGAUGUAGGGGUGGUGGCUAUUUCAAUCGGCUCCUGGCAGCCUCCCAUGGAGCAAUUUCCCGACCCUGUUUGGAGAGACUGCUUAUUAUCAAUGAAGGGUUUCUUGAACCUUGAAUCUCCAUAUAUGGGGAUUUCCUUGAACAGAAAUAGGCAAGAGGCAGAGGAGGAAAAAUACAUAUCCAAUCCAGUAGGGUUGAACUGGAACUGGAGAUCUUGGCAUCUUUUGGAGCUUGAGGAAGCAGGGUCCUGUUGGAAUUGAUAUAUAGGAGGGAGCAUUAUCUUGAGGAGAGAGGCUAAAAGGCUUCAGUUGUGAUAGAUGAAUCCAGUGAGGGAAGCCCUCAAGCUUAGCAGCUGUGGAGGUCACAAGAAUCACCAUGAAAAGACCCUGCCAUUUAGAAGAAAGAGUUGGGGAAUUUUGGAGGAGAGAGAAGGACCUGCCCCCCAAUGUUAAUAAAAGAUGGACAGGGGUUAGUAUAUGGUCGUGGUAAAUAGUGGUCUGUAAAGACCCAUAGUAGAGAACGGAGAUGACAGAGUAAGGGAGUAAGUAGGUGGUCAGGGAGAGGCAAGGAUUUCGCUGAAAGACCAGGAGUUAGGACGGGUCUCCCACACAUGAGCUCAAAAGGUGAAAUAGAUAGAGGUUUUUUAGGCAGAGCUCGUAGCCUGAAAAGGGCCAGGAUGAGGAGUUUUACCCAAUCAUGGUGAAGCUCAUGUAAUAGUUUAACAAGAAUAUUUUUUAAGGAUUGGUUAGUUCGUUCUAUCUUUCCUGAGGACUGUGGAUGGUAUGAAAUAUGAAAAGACCAAGCAAUAUUAAGGGCUUUAGAUAAGGUCUGGGAAAACUGAGAAAUGAACUCAAGACCGUUGUCUGACUGGAGGGAGGGAGGAAUUUCAAAAUGUGGGACAAUCUCAUGGAGAAAGAGCUCUUUUUUAGUAGUGGGAAAAACCUCCACCCAUCCCGAGAAGGUGUCCACCAAGACCAGGAGGUACCUGCCACUGCCGACAUGUGAGUAGAAUCAAGUUGCCAGUCAGUAGCAGGGAGAGAGCCUCUAAUCUGGUGGGUAGGGAAAGGCGGGGUACGAUAUCCUGAGUUCGGAUCUGAGGUCUGGCAAUUCUUACAAGUGGCAGUAAUGGUUUUUAGGAAAUGCAAGUACUCAAGGGUAGGCUUCAGGUGAGCUGUGACAAAGUUAGACAAUGCUUGACUGUUAGGAUGAAAGAGCUAGUGUAGGUAGUUUUUAUUUUGCCGUGAGUGAGAUGACUCUAGGCCUUUAAGGGCUGGAGUCUUAGCUGCUUCUUCAGCCCGGUUAUUUCCCUUGGAAAUUAUGGAAUCAUCUGUCCAGUGGGACCGGGAGUGGACUAUUCUGAUGGCUGUGGGAAGGUGAGAGGCUUCUAGCAUGGCCAUAAUUUGGCCUGCAUUGGUUACAGAUCCUCCCUUUGCUGUAAGUAACCCAUGCUCUCUCCAGAUGGCAGCAUGGGAGAGAAGAAUAUGAAAACCAUAUUUACAGUCCGUAUAGAUAUUAAGGAAUUGUCCGUGGGCAAAUUGGAAGGCUCGGGUAAGAGCUAUUAGUUCAGCCUGUUGAUAAGUGGUGUGGGCAGGGAGGGCUUAUGCCUCAAUCCAUCAGUAUUCGACACUAUGGCAUAAGUCGCUUUUCGAGCUCCCUCGUGUACUGCCAUCUGUAUACCAGGUAUAGACAGACAGUCUGAGGUAAUGUGCCCUCCUGUAUGUGUGAGGGGUGGGGCAAUAGUUCCUCUAAAGUUUCAGUGCAAGAGUGAGAUGGGGAAUAGUCAGAGUUAAGUGGAGGAAGAAGGCUUGAAAUAUUAAGAGGUGGGCAUAGUUGAAAAGUAAGGGUAGAGUCUUCUAUUAGCGCCACCUGGAGAGAAAGGACUCUGGAAGAAGGUAAAGUUUGUAAGCCUUUAUAUGUUAGAAGGUGAGACAGAUUGUGAGAAGAGAAGACAAUACUAAGUGACCCAAAAGAUAGGUUUUUGUACUCUUGAAUAAGGAGCUUCGCAGCCGCUAGGGCAAAAAUACAGGGCACCCAUCCCUGGAUCGUCAGGUCUUAUUUUUUUGAUAGGUAUGCUACAGGUGCAAAGGAGGGUCCCAAUUGGUGACCCAGGGCUCCAAGGGCAUAUCCAUUUCUUUCUCUUACAUAGAGGGAGAAGGGACAUGUUAGGUCUGGAAGAUGUAGGGCUGGUGUCUCAAGAAGAGCUUGUUGGAGCCUCUGAAAGGGCUUAGUAAUAGGCUUAAGAAGAGGUUCAUGCAAAGGACCUAAGUCUGCCUCAUAUAAUGGGCAGACAAGAAGGUAAAAGGAGGGCACCCAGGACCAUAAGAAACCAGCCAUUCCCAGAAACGAUAAAAUUAGCAGGAACUGUCAGAGACCAUAUUAGAUCUUUUCUAUCUAGAUUGAUGCCCUAGUGCAUUGGGGUUAUUGUUAGUCCCAGGUAAGUGACCUCAGAUGAUGAUAAUUGGACCUUAGAGGAUGAUACCCGAUAGCCCCUGCUGGAUAGGAAAUUUAAACGAGCAGAAGUGUUAUUUUGGCUAACUUAUAGGGAUGGACUGUAGAUUUAGGGAGAGAUAAGGAGAGUAGAUCAGAAGCUAGAGCUUGGCCAAAAAGGGGUAGAACAGUCCAAGUUAGCUGAGUAGAAACAAGGGUUUCAGGGUCAGUCCAGGUAAAGGCAAAGAUAUUUUGUGACUGGGUGUCUAAAGGAAUAGAGAGAACUGAGAAAUGGGAUUGGCGACAACAGGUAAUAGGCUCCAUUGGGCUUUGUAACUGCAAGUAUGGGGGUGUUAAAAGGAGAGGAAGUGGGGCGAAGGAGUUUUUUCUUAGAAGCUCAGUGAUAAUAGGCAUAAGUCCUCUAUGACUCUUAAGAGGAAUGGUUAUGGAGCCUGGGCAAUAUACCAGGUGCGGUUCUGUAGCUGAAUGACUAUAGGGGAAUGGUUUCUCACAACAGAGGGCUUUUGGGCUUCUCAGACGUGGGAGUCCACUUGAGAGGCUGGUAAAGGAAGCAACCUAUCAGAACUGGUAGGUAGGGUAGCUAGGAGGAGAGAGGACACUGACAAGCUUUGUGUCACGCCUUAGAAGGCAAGGGAGCCUGCUUCAUGGCUGAGGCUGGCUAGAUGCCCUCGGCCAGCAUUUGGUAUUUUUGCUUGCGGGCUUUUUCAUCUCUCCCGUGGUACACCUUAAAGGCCAGCACUAAGACUUCUGCCUGUGGAGUCAGAGGUCCUUUCUCCAAGGAUUUAACCUUAGCCCUGAUGUUGGGGAACCUUUGCGAGAAAAAAAUAGGUCAUUAGUAGUUGUCUGCCCUCUGUACUAGAUUAGUGUGUUGUAAAAGUGCCUUUGUAAGGCACUCUAGGAAUUGAGACGGCUUUUCUUUUCUGUCCUGAAUGACCUGGAGCGGAGAGAGAACGGGUAGCAGGGGGGUAAUAAUUGUUGGUGAGGUGAAAGUGGUUGCAAUAGUGAGCUGACUAGGACAGCCUAUUGCCAGGGAAGGGGGUGAGGAUUUUGAAAAAGCUGAAGGAAAGAGGAGGGGGAAGACGCCAGAGGUUGUAAAGAUUCUGGAGAAGUUGAAGAGGAAGAAAUUGGAGUAGAAAAGUAGGGAGAAGACACCGGAGGUUGUGAGGAUUUUAGAGAAGCUGGAGGUUGAGAACAGCGGGGCGGAGGUUCAUCUGCAGGGUCAAAAGUAGAGACCUCUUGAAGUUGAGACUUUAUAGCUAGAAGAAGUUGGAUAGGAGUACAGGAAGAGCAGAGAGAAGGUUUACAGCAGAGAAGAGAUAAAGCUUGAACAUAUGGUAUAUCCAUGGUAUAUCCAUUUACCAGAUUUCUGGCAGUAAAUAAUAAGAUACCGUAAAAUAUUGUGCUUUAAUGUGAACCCUUACUUAAAGAAUAUGCACGCCAGGACUUAUUACAGAGGCGUGUGAGCUUAGAGGCCUUUAAUUGAGGCUCGAUGUGUAAUGUUUGAAAAUUCUACAGAAGAAAACUCAGUGGGGACACUGGAGGAAUGGUUCUCUUAUAAGGUGACCCCAAGCAUGCACAGUUGGUUCCAGUUGACCAGCCAGGUGUCUUCUAGGUGGCCUCACACAUGCCUCCAGAGUACUGUGAUUAAAGGCUUGUAGCACCAUGCCUGGCUGCAAUAAUUUUUCAGUACUAUAGUCUUUUAAAAUAUAUUUAAAUAUAUAAGUUAAAAAGAAAACUUUUUCUGUCCGUUCCCCUAAAAUAAAGCUUUCAUGAUAAAAUGUAUCACGAACAAUUCAAGAGGAACUUUGUUGGCAUCCAUAAGCAGGCAUCUCUACAGCCAGCACCAAGGGAACCUGGUAAACCAGACAUGAGGCAUCUGUGACUCCAUGUAUGGACCACCUGCGGACCACCUGAUCUCACCUGCACAUGCUCUGGGUCACCUUAUAACAGAACUCCCCCCACCCCCUCACCCCCCCCUCUUUCCCUACCCAGAGAAGGUCUCCGUGAGCCCUUUCCUCUUCUCUUAAUAAACCUCCCACGUGGAAACAGUUCCGUGGGGCUUGAUUUGUGAACAUGCCAUGUAACUUCUCUGCAAAAUCCUAACAAACCUGACUUUCUUUCCAUGUAAAUAACAAAGCCUGAGUAAGUAUGGUCUUAAAGAGCUAAUAUAUAAAAUCAGUGGACAAAAAGAUUCUAAGGGAAAGCAUGAUGCAGUAGCAAUAGAGCAUCUUCUCAUCUCUCGGCCUGGGAGAGAUUCAGCACACAACGGUGGUAGUGAUAGGAAAAGACAUUUUAUGUGGUGGUAUGGGGCUGUGAAUCAUCAAAUCAUCACUUUCUUUCUGGAUAGCUGUCUUGUCCUCCUGUGGGGAGCCCUUCCUCCCCAAACUCGCCUUGUGCAUGUCUGGCCACAUUUCUUGCUCCUGCUUUCCUGUGGUCGCUUUGAUGUCUUUGUUUUUAGUACCCAAAGGCUUUCUUCUCUACUCUUGGAUGUUUCUUAUAGAUGAUAAAUGUGUUCUCAUUUACACAGUGUUUCUGCUUUGAGCUGUUUGCUUAAGCUCACCAUAAUGACUACUACACCCUAGUUUAUUAUUGCUUAUAGCACACAACUUCUUUCCAAGUAUUAAGGAAAUGAACACAUUGAUCACGUGGUGGUGAAUGGUGGUCCUGUUGUUUGAGACAGUGUCUUCUGUAUCCAGGCUGGCCUUGAAUUGAAGCUCCCAAGUGUAGCUGAAGAUGGCCUGGCACUUUUGAAAGUGCAUCUCUCUACAUAGCCCCGGCUGUCAUGGAACUCUAUGUAGACCAGGCUGGCCUCAAAUUCACAAAACACUGCCUGCCUCUGCUUCCUGAGUGCCAGGAUUACAAGCAUAUACCAGGCGUGAUAAUUCUACUGAAAGAACCAGGCCUGAGCCCACCCCCUCCCCAAAAGUCACCAGUCCCAGGAACUGGGCCAUAGGUCACUAAUUCCAGAAUGAAAACAAUGGAGUCCCCUACCCAAGGAAGAGCCUGGAGAAAACCCAGUGAUAUUUAACCAUCACCCCUAGCAAAGGCUAAUCAGUGAAGACCUGGAAUUCACCCAGCUGUUCUUUACAAUAGGGUGAGUAAAACAAUUACCGUUUGCCUUGGCCCUCCAGGCAAACAAUUUUCUCCAGACACCCGAUAUUUGCUAAAUGUCAGUCUUUCAUAAAACUGCCUACAAAGCUGCCAUUUCCCAACCUUGUAACCCUAAAUAAAAACCCUCCUCCCCCUGAGCUCAGGGCUCUACACUCAAGAACCACUGAGUCUGGUGAGGGUAUGGGCCUGAGGUCAUGCUUGUAAGAAAAGACCCUCCUGAAUUUGCAUGAGUUAGGCUCUUUGGUGGUCUUUGGGGUCCCUGAGACUUGGGCAAAACACACUUUUCGUCUUUCCAGGACUCUCUACAUUGACUUCCAGAGCAACUGUGCCAGUCAAUAUUCAUUCCAACAGUUAUUAAAAGCUUCCUUUUCCCUACAGCUUUGCUGGCUUCUUCUGGUUUGUUUGUUUGCUUGUGUUUUCUUUGUUUUGAUAAUAGUCACAGUCUCAAAGCACAUUUUCAAAUAUUGGCCAUUUGUGUAUGUGUUCAGUUCACUUACUGGCUGGAUAAUUUGUCCCAUCAAAAGAAUUUUUUAAAUGCUCUAGAUUUUAUCCUUUGUAAUUUUUAAAUUUGUUACUAUUUUAUUAACAUUUUUUACUAUUAUUAUUACUGACAUUAUUAUUAUUGUUGUAUGUGUGUGCAUGCAUUGCUGUGGCAUGUGUAUGGAGUCAGAUGACAAUACUGUGGACUCAGUCCUCUCCUCAGGACUGUAUAUGAGUUCAAGGGUGGCAAACACGUUUACCUGCAGAGCCAUCUCUCCAGCCCUUACCUAUUAUUUUCAUCACUCCAUCGUAGGUCUUUGAAUAUCCUGUAUUUCUCAUCUGCUACAAAUUGCAGAGUAAGGCCGCGUGUAAAGGAAUAGCAUCAGGGAGGCCUUUCCUUUAACGUGCUCAUUACACAAGUCUACACAUGUGAUAACAUGGAAUAUUAAUGUGGCUUAGGUAUUGUGCUGUAUUUAUGGGAAAUGUGAUUCCCUGGGGAAAUCUGUGUGGAAUGUGUAAGCUGGCUAUAUUGUCUUUUUCUCAUACUAAUAAUUAUCUAGCACAACCUGUAAAAAUGGAAAUCAUGAAGGUGAAAGAAAACAGUCUGGGGCUGGAGAGAUGGCUCAGGGAUUAAGAGCACUGGCUGCUCUUCCGGGGGACCAGGGUUCAAUUUCCACCAUCCACAUGGCAGCUCACAACUGCCUGUAACUCCUGUUCCAGGGGAUCCAACGACCCUCACACAGACAUUGAUAUGCGGUCAACACACCAUUGUAUAUAAAGUAUGAGUAAAUAAUUUUCAAAUACAAUUACUCAACAUAAGAGUAACAAGGAAAAAGGAAAACCUAACUGCACAACAACUGGGAGGAUUAGUGGGGGCUGGGGAUUUAGCUCAGCAGGAGAGUGCUUGCAGGCCAGCAGGAUGCUCGGGUGGGGGUUGGGUUGGGAGUGAAGGGGAGACAGCAAAAAACAAGAACAUGAGCAAAGGAAACUAAAAUGGAACCACUGCAUGAGGGUGACUCCUAAAUUACUUUUUUUUUUUUGGAUAAAACAGAAACAGAAUUUGUCAUAAAUGAAGUACUAACUGAAUGGAAAAAUUGUUCUAACAACUUAUGUUAAAAACAACAAAUCUAGUUUUUUAUUAUUAAUUAAAACAAAUGCUGAAGUGAAUUUGUCAAGCCGAAAGGCAAAAAUAUAGAAGAAAAAGAGAGAAUGUAUUGAUAUAGAGAUGUUAAGUACAUAUUCAAAUUAGCAAGGGAAUAAAAUCAUUAAAGUUUUCAAAACAAAACUGUUUAAUGUCUACAGUGAUUUAUGAAGGUGUACAUAAUAAGAAAAGAUUCAAAUUGUUAUUUUAAGAUUCAGUAUCAGAAGAGGGGUAAUAAAAUGUGGCAGGAUUCCUAUCAAAAUUAAGUUUUUAGCAUCUUAAAAUAGAGUAUUACAACUUUGUUUUAAGAUGCUUCAUGGAACCUGCAAACAAAAACUAAAGCAAGUGAUCCAAAAUCAAAAAGGGGACAAGCAUGAUGGUGGGAAGGAAGAAAGAGAGGGAAGGAGGUCAUAAAUUUUAGCAUCAAUUCUCAAAUUAUUCAACAAAAGAGAAGAAAUAGCCAGGCAGAAUUGGACAUAAAGACAGACAAGCAGACAGAUAGAUAAAAUAAAAAAGGAUUCCCUUUUGGUCUAACUUUGUGAAAAAUUGAAUUUACUAAGUAAUUUACGGGAGCACGGAUGAGGGGUUAUUUACAGCAGUGUAGGUGACUCCAAAACUCCUGCAUCCCAUCCCAGCAUAGACGACAACCUAAUGAAAGCUGCAUGAAUGGAGCUCUCCAGUCAGUCAAACUUCCACCUCCUAUAUAUUCUGACACCUGAAGACCAGGGGCAGCUGGCAGCAUUCAAGGAGUUUAGGGCAAUAUGCUGGAGAGCAAUGAAUACAAUCUCAGGAGAGGUUGAAUAACUCCCCACACCCCUUCUUCAAAGAAGGAAUGUUUCCUGCAGAUGAUCACACACACAGAUGCUCUGAUUCAGGAAGGCAGUGUCCAUGUCAUCCUGGAGCACAGUGGUCCACAUCAGGUGUCAAAAAAAAAAAUAAAAAAAAAAGACAACCAGCAAGCUAACAUCCUUAAGGAACACAACAGCAAUCUGCAGUUAAAUACUAGUAUCCAUAUGUAACAACACUGCAAGACUAUUCAGCCCAGUCAAGAAAGAAUGAUCUCACAGAUACAGGGAUGCUCCAACAUGUACCAAUUGGUUAACAUAAGGGCAAAAUUUUCCAAUUGAGGAAGGAUAAGCUCACUUAGCAAACAGGUAUAGAACAAAUGUGCCUUAGCACAAUAAAGGCCACAUAAGGCUGACAUUAACAUUGAAUGGGGGGAGCUUUCUAAGAUCUGUAACUAGACAAGCAUUCUGACGUUCACCGUGGUUAUUGUCAGCACAAGUCCUAACUAAAGCGGUAAGGCAAGAAUGACUGGCAUCCAGUUGGAAGACAGGCUGUGGUGUUACCACUGCUUGCAGAAAACAUGGCGUUUUACAUGGCAAACUCCAAUGACUCCGUCUAGAAACUAUAAGAGCUCAUAAAGUCAGCCAAGCUGCAUGAUAAACCAUUUGUGGGAUCUCUUCGCUGUUGUCUGUGGCUGGAGGCCCUGACCAUACUGGCUGCAGCCUGGCAUGCAGGCACUGCAGGUGGAUCCUGUCCGUCCCUUGCUCAACACUUUCACCAUCUUCCUCGUGCUGGCAGCUGGCCGCAUCACCUCCAAAUGUCCUUGAUUUGCUGCAGAUGCUUCAAAGAGGGCAGCUGCUACUCAGAUGGCUGCCAGAGCCUUAUGGACUCUCGAAAACAAUGGCUGUCACCCUGCUCCUCUACAGACUCAUCAACCUGGGCAGCUGUUUCAUCCCCUCUUUCUCUGCCCUCUGUGGAGCCCAAAUAAUGGAUUUUCUAAGAGGUACUGGAGGCCUCUAGCCCUGUUGCUGCUGUGUUCCAGAUCAUCCCCCUGAUAAUCUACACUGUGAAGGACACACAGACCUUCAGCUUUCAUGCCAAUCCUGGUCACUUCUUUUCCUAUUUGGUUAAGAGAUUAUUAAUGCUGUUGAUGGACAGGGCAACAUGACAGGGGCUCUGCUGAGGCAGAGUGAGGGUCCCUUCUUGUCAUCUUAAAGGGAAGGUGAGGUUCCACAGCACAGGACUGAGGGCCAUGCUUGCUGUCUCCUCUGGCUGGCAGUGGGGAGGAAGGGAGCCUGUUAGCCUGGGGCCUAGAAGCUGAGUCAGCUAUGGGGGUGGAGAGAGCAAGAAUCUAGAAAAUCAAGUUAUUGGAAGGAUCUUGCGAAAAGGCCUGGCCCUGGAUAACAUUCCUCACCUUGGUUUCUAUCAGAUAGGGGGUUAGAAUACCAUAGGAUGGCUCAUUUCCAAAGGUUCAUCAAACUUUCAGUUCAGCUACAAAUGAGCAGAAAACACUGGUCCCUGCUAAUGACUUCCAGCCAACCUAUUUUUUAGCCUCCCCAAACUCCUGUCACCCCACCUACAAGUAUAGAGAAUUCAGUUACUCAUAGCUAUACUCCUCUGUGUGCUGAUGAAUCUGAUCAGCUUCCAAAUAAACAACAUUUAAAAUGGAGAGAUAAA
Molecule: long non-coding RNA, 11955 nt
Organism: Meriones unguiculatus (Mongolian gerbil)
Lineage: Eukaryota; Metazoa; Chordata; Mammalia; Rodentia; Muridae
Exons: 11
Source: RefSeq, a predicted model, not a curated record